UAGUGAUUAACGCGAAGAACCUUACCUGGGCUAGAAUGCCUCUGACAGCCGUAGAGAUACGGAUUCCUGGGUAAAACCAGGCAGAGUGCAAGGUGCUGCAUGGCUGUCGUCAGCUCGUGUCGUGAGAUGUUGGGUUAAGUCCCGCAACGAGCGCAACCCUUAUCAAUAGUUGCUAGCGGUUCGGCCGGGCACUCUAUUGAGACUGCCGUUGACAAAACGGAGGAAGGUGGGGAUGACGUCAAGUCCUCAUGGCCUUUAUGUCCAGGGCUACACACGUGCUACAAUGGCGAGUACAAAGCGCUGCAAACCUGCAAGGGGGAGCCAAUCGCAAAAAGCUCGUCUCAGUUCGGAUUGGAGUCUGCAACUCGACUCCAUGAAGCUGGAAUCGCUAGUAAUCGCAGAUCAGAACGCUGCGGUGAAUACGUUCCCGGGCCUUGUCACACCGAAUCGAAUUC
RNAcentral lists this ribosomal RNA (455 nucleotides) under uncultured soil bacterium. RNAcentral's name for it is "bacterial SSU rRNA". It matches the Rfam family "Bacterial small subunit ribosomal RNA", at positions 951 to 1384 of the family's 1533-position model. The record is from RNAcentral.